RNAcentral lists this ribosomal RNA (498 nucleotides) under uncultured bacterium. RNAcentral's name for it is "partial 16S ribosomal RNA". It matches the Rfam family "Bacterial small subunit ribosomal RNA", at positions 27 to 507 of the family's 1533-position model. The record is from RNAcentral.
GGACGAACGCUGGCGGCGUGCCUAAUACAUGCAAGUUGAGCGCUGAAGGUUGGUACUUGUACCGACUGGAUGAGCAGCGAACGGGUGAGUAACGCGUGGGGAAUCUGCCUUUGAGCGGGGGACAACAUUUGGAAACGAAUGCUAAUACCGCAUAAAAACUUUAAACACAAGUUUUAAGUUUGAAAGAUGCAAUUGCAUCACUCAAAGAUGAUCCCGCGUUGUAUUAGCUAGUUGGUGAGGUAAAGGCUCACCAAGGCGAUGAUACAUAGCCGACCUGAGAGGGUGAUCGGCCACAUUGGGACUGAGACACGGCCCAAACUCCUACGGGAGGCAGCAGUAGGGAAUCUUCGGCAAUGGACGAAAGUCUGACCGAGCAACGCCGCGUGAGUGAAGAAGGGUUUCGGAUCGUAAAACUCUGUUGGUAGAGAAGAACGUUGGUGAGAGUGGAAAGCUCAUCAAGUGACGGUAACUACCCAGAAAGGGACGGCUAACUACGUG